GACGAACGCUGGCGGCGUGCCUAACACAUGCAAGUCGAACGAACACGCCCGAGCUUGCUCGGUCUGAUUAGUGGCGAACGGGUGAGUAACACGUGAGCAACCCCCCCUUCACUCUGGGAUAACCUCGGGGAAUCGCGGCUAAUAUCGGAUAUGAGCUCUUGUCCCAUGGCGUGUGUUGGAAAGAUUUUAGGUGGUUGAUAGGCUGGCGGCUUAUCUGUUUGUUGGUGAGGUAGUGGCUCACCAAGGCUUUGACGGGUAGCCGACCUGAGAGGGCGACCGGCCACACUGGGCCUGAGAGAGGGCCCAGAAUCCAACGGGAGGCAGCAGUGGGGAAUAUUGCACAGUGGGCGAAAGCCAGAUGCAGAGACGCCGCGUGAGGAAUGACGGCCUUCGGGGUGUAAACCUCUGUGAGCGGGGAAGAAGCGAAAGUGACGGUACCUGCAGAAGAAGCGCCGGCUAACUACGUG
RNAcentral lists this ribosomal RNA (467 nucleotides) under uncultured bacterium. Its description in RNAcentral is "partial 16S ribosomal RNA". It matches the Rfam family "Bacterial small subunit ribosomal RNA", at positions 28 to 507 of the family's 1533-position model. The record is from RNAcentral.